This 2495-nucleotide ribosomal RNA is filed under the name human gut metagenome. RNAcentral describes it as "eukaryotic LSU rRNA". The stretch from base 289 to 2495 matches the Rfam family "Eukaryotic large subunit ribosomal RNA", at positions 1 to 2327 of the family's 3401-position model. The record is from RNAcentral.
ACUCUAUACGAUGGAUAUCUUGGCUCUUGAAUCGAUGAAGAACGCAGCGAAAUGCGAUAAGUAAUGCGAAUUGCAGAACUCUGUGAGUCAUCAAAUCUUUGAACGCAUAUUGCACUUCCUUUUGGGAGUAUACUUGUUUGAGUGUAGUUAAAGGUUUCUAUCUAUAAUAGAUGAAUAUUGGAGUUAGUAUACUAUACUUUCUCUAAAAUGAAUAUAUUCGUAUAUAAGAAUAGUAUUUGAGGUAGUUGCCACAAGUACUAUAUUAUAUAAGAAUAUAUUUAAUAAGAUCUAUCUCAAAUCAAGUAAGAUUACCUGCUGAAUUGAAGCAUCUAAGUAAGCAGAGGAAAAGAAAAUAACAAUGAUUCUCUUAGUAACGGCGAGUGAAUAGGGAAUAGCCCAAGCUUAAAUCAGCUUUGCUGAGUUGUAGUGUGUAGAAUCUAACUUUUGUUCAGUGUUAAUAUCAUAUAAUUUGGUUGGAAAACCAAGUAAUAGAAGGUGAUAACCCUGUAAUAUGAUAUGACUGAAUGUUGGAUUCUUGGAGUCGAGUUGUUUGGGAAUGCAACUCGAAGUGGGUGGUGAACUCCAUCUAAGGCUAAAUAUGUUCAAGAGACCGAUAGUGAACAAGUACCGUGAGGGAAAGAUGAAAAGAACUUUGAGAAAAGAGUGAAAUAGUACUUGAAAUCGUAUAGAGGUUAAGCAGAGUUGGUGGAUAUUGUAUUUGAAUGUACUAUAAUCAAUUGAUUAUGGCUUAUUCUUAUACAUAGUAUAAUUUGUGUGUGAAUUGGUUAAUAUUAAAACGAAUAUGCGCAUAAAUGAUAUAAAUCCUACAUCUCUGUCCCGUCUUGAAACACGGACCAAGGAGUCUAUCCUGUAUGCAAGUUGUAUGGUGUAAAACCAAUAAGCGUAAUGAAAGUAAGAGGUGUGAAAGUUGUAAAAGUGUCAACACCUGCCGAUCUAAAUUCUUUGAUGAAAGAUUCGAGUAUGAGCAUAUAGGGUGGGACCCGAAAGAUGGUGAACUAUGCCUGAAUAGGACGAAGCCAGGGGAAACUCUGGUGGAGGUUCGAGUGGAUUCUAACGUGCAAAUUGAUCUUUAAAUUUGGGUAUAGGGGCGAAAGACUAAUCGAACCAUCUAGUAGCUGGUUCAUUCCGAAAUUUCCCUCAGGAUAGCUGCAACUUAUGAAAUAGUUUUAUGAGGUAAAGCGAAUGAUUAGAGGUUUCUGGGAUGGAAUAUCCUGGACCUAUUCUCAAACUUUCAAUGGGUAAGAAAAGUGUGAUGUUUAAUUAAUCAUACUAUUUGAAUAUGAGUUGCAAGUGGGCCAUUCCGGGUAAGCUGGACUGGCAAUGCGGGAUCAACCGAACGCUAUGUUACGGCGCCAGAUUGUUCGCUCAGUUGGAUGUAAAAGGUGUUAGUUCAUCUAGACAGCAGGACGGUGGCCAUGGAAGUCGGAAUCCGCUAAGGAGUGUGUAACAACUCACCUGCCGAAUGAAGUAGCCCUGAAAAUGGAUGGCGCUUAAGCGAACAGCCUAUACAUAGCCAUUAUUGUUAGGAUUAUACAAUAAUGAGUAGGAAUGCGUGAUGAAUGUUGUGAAGUAUGAUGUGUGAACAUGUAUGGAACAUUCAUUAGUGCAGAUCUUGGUGGAAGUAGCAAAUAUUCAAAUGAGAUCUUUGAAGACUGAAGUGGAGAAAGGUUCCAUAGGAAUAGUGAUUAUCUAUGGGUUAGUCGAUCCUAAGAGAUAGGUGAAAUCCAUUGAAAAGUCAAUUUCGAUUGACAUUUAUCGAAAGGGAAUCAGGUUAAUAUUCCUGAACCAAAGAGAAGGGUAAACGGUAACGUAUAGGGGUCUCAAGACAUUGAUGUUAUUCCCAGGAAGAGUUUUCUUUUCUUGUUAACAAAUGGGCAGUGCUUGGAAUCGAUUCAGUCGGCGAUAAGCAUUGUUAUUUGGUAAAGUACUACUAUUUUGUGUAGUAUCUGGUGCAAUGACAUGAAUCCUUGAAAAUUGAGACUUUUGUUUUCCCGAAGCUUUGGUCGUACUAAUAACCGCAUCAGGUCUCCAAGGUGAAUAGCCUCUAGUUAAUAGAAUAAUGUAGAUAAGGGAAGUCGGCAAAUUAGAUCCGUAACUUCGGGAUAAGGAUUGGCUCUGAGGGCUAAGUGGGUUUAAGGUGUUAAUAGUAUAAGUUUGAUAUGGGAUUGAGUGUUUUGAGUUGCUUCGGUGAUUUGAAAUAUUUGGUUCUAAUGUCUUAGUUGUCUAUUUUCAUCUACCACUAUGAAUAGCUAACUCAGAACUGGUACGGACAAGGGGAAUCCGACUGUUUAAUUAAAACAAAGCAUUGUGAUGGUGUGAAAGAUAUGUUGACACAAUGUGAAUUCUGCCCAGUGCUCUGAAUGUGAAAGUGGCGUAAUUCAAGCAAGCGCGGGUAAACGGCGGGAGUAACUAUGACUCUCUUAAGGUAGCCAAAUGCCUCGUCAUCUAAUUAGUGACGCGCAUGAAUGGAUUAA